UUUUAGGUAUGCCACAUCAGCGGGCCUAUGUUCUCCCUUUAUGUAUGUAUAGAUUGUCCAACCCUGACAGAAUUGAAACUCUUCAAUUGUGUUCUCAAACCACCAAAAUAUUUUCUUGGCUUUCAAAGUCUUACAACACUUUAUCUGAUAAAAGUAACCUUUGUGUCAACUACCAAAAAUUGUCUUAUAAAUGUCCCGUUUCUUGUCAAUCUGACCUUGAGGCACUGUAAUGGUACUCAAUACCUCAACAUUGCUUCAGCUGGGUUGAUGUCCUUGCAUAUUUGUGAGAUUCCCUAUAUUCUUGACCUAAAUUGCUUUAUGAAUUGCAGAAAAUUGACAUAUUUAUAUCUCGAGGUUAAGAAUUCUUCAAUGCCCACCGAAAGAUUAACUUUGGAAAAGCUUCUUCUUAGCUUGACUACACUUAAAGUACUUACUUUGGGUUCACUUGAACUUGAGCUUUUGAGUGCAAGUGCAGUUCCAAAAGGGCUUCCUUUUACGCUCAACUACUUGUGGCAUCUACAGAUAGGUGUAGACUUCAUCCAAAUUGGCCAGAUAUAUUAUGCUCUCAAGUUGAUUAAGAGUCCCCCUAUUUGAGUAAACUUGAGAUUUCGGUCUAUGAUUCUUGCAAUACGACUGAAGCAAUUUUGAAAUAUAUGGACACACCGGCCUGCUUGGACCCACCGCUCAACAAGCUCGAAGAUGUUACUAUGCAUAUUUUAAGGGUUUAAAAACUGAACUAUUUUUCAUAAAGCUAUUGCUUUCUCAUACUACAGCUCUGGUAAGGAUGAGAAUCAAGCCGGUUGGUUCCUUGGAAAAAUGGAAUAUUGCAAUAAAAUUGAUGUCUUACCCUAGAGCAUCUCCCAAGGCAAAGCUAUUAUAUUCUAUUUGACUAAUGUGUAUUAGGAUUUUUAGUCAGUCGAUUUGUGUUUUGAUGCUACAAAGGCAUGAUGUUAUCUGUUCUCAGUGUGUUCCUUUAAUUCCUUUUACAAAUAUGUUCUUAAAUGUUUUGAAAGUUCGUCUAAAUGAUGUGUGUGAUAAGAUUAGCAGUCCCUUUGCUCAUAUCUUCCAUAUGGAUUGGGAUGGACAGGAAGACUUCAUAAACAUUACAACUUGGGUGAUCCAAGUAAUGACUAAUAACCGAUCAACCGUAAAGCACUUAUGCAGUCCAUUACCCUACAUGUUCCGAAAAUCAAACUCCACAUCUUCCCUGUUUUCACCUAUCAAAACCAAGAAAAAAAACAAAAAAAAACAAAAACAAAGCAAGACUAGAAUAGAAAAAAAGUGCCGCUACUCACAGGACGAAGCAAAGGGAAACAAACCAACUUUUGGAUAAUUGGAGAGACGCAUUGAAUAUUUUAUAAAGAUCUCUUGGUUCUAUCUUCCAUUCACUUGGCUAUAAAAGACACUUUGUGCCUAUAAUUUUGAGACUCUAAUUUAACGUUACGGAAUCACCAUGACUCAAGGUAUAAAAUUCUCCUUUUUCCCCUCUAUUUAGA
Lycium barbarum (goji berry) is the source of this 1496-nucleotide long non-coding RNA. RefSeq lists it as uncharacterized. The record is from RefSeq and is a predicted model, not a curated record. Lineage: Eukaryota; Viridiplantae; Streptophyta; Magnoliopsida; Solanales; Solanaceae. The transcript has 3 exons.